Molecule: ribosomal RNA, 240 nt
Filed under: Synechococcus sp. KORDI-19
Lineage: Bacteria; Bacillati; Cyanobacteriota; Cyanophyceae; Synechococcales; Synechococcaceae
Also listed under: 1 other name
Description: partial 16S ribosomal RNA
Rfam family: Bacterial small subunit ribosomal RNA
Source: RNAcentral
AGAUCGUAGGCUGCAACUCGCCUACGUGAAGGAGGAAUCGCUAGUAAUCGCAGGUCAGCAUACUGCGGUGAAUACGUUCCCGGGCCUUGUACACACCGCCCGUCACACCAUGGAAGUUGGCCACGCCCGAAGCCGUUACUCCAACCCUUGUGGAGGAGGACGUCGAAGGUGGGGCUGAUGACUGGGGUGAAGUCGUAACAAGGUAUCCGUACCGGAAGGUGCGGAUGGAUCACCUCCUAA